AACGAACGCUGGCGGCAUGCCUAACACAUGCAAGUCGAACGAAGCCUUCGGGCUUAGUGGCGCACGGGUGCGUAACGCGUGGGAACCUACCAUCAGGUUCGGAAUAACAGUUAGAAAUGACUGCUAAUACCGGAUAAUGUCUUCGGACCAAAGAUUUAUCGCCUUUUGAUGGGCCCGCGUUGGAUUAGCUAGUUGGUGGGUAAAGGCCUACCAAGGCGACGAUCCAUAGCUGGUCUGAGAGGAUGAUCAGCCACACUGGGACUGAGACACGGCCCAGACUCCUACGGGAGGCAGCAGUGGGGAAGUAUUGGACAAUGGGCGAAAGACCUGAUCCAGCAAUGCCGCGUGAGUGAUGAAGGCCUUAGGGUUGUAAAGCUCUUUUACCUAGGGAG
RNAcentral lists this ribosomal RNA (392 nucleotides) under uncultured bacterium. RNAcentral's name for it is "bacterial SSU rRNA". It matches the Rfam family "Bacterial small subunit ribosomal RNA", at positions 29 to 447 of the family's 1533-position model. The record is from RNAcentral.